CAGUAGCCGCGGGAAUACGAAGGGUGCAAGCGUUAAUCGGAAUUACUGGGCGUAAAGCGCGCGUAGGUGGUUUGUUAAGUUGGAUGUGAAAUCCCCGGGCUCAACCUGGGAACUGCAUUCAAAACUGACUGACUAGAGUAUGGUAGAGGGUGGUGGAAUUUCCUGUGUAGCGGUGAAAUGCGUAGAUAUAGGAAGGAACACCAGUGGCGAAGGCGACCACCUGGACUAAUACUGACACUGAGGUGCGAAAGCGUGGGGAGCAAACAGGAUUAGAGACCCGAGUAGUCCCUGUCUCUUAUAC
RNAcentral lists this ribosomal RNA (301 nucleotides) under uncultured bacterium. RNAcentral describes it as "partial 16S ribosomal RNA". It matches the Rfam family "Bacterial small subunit ribosomal RNA", at positions 509 to 807 of the family's 1533-position model. The record is from RNAcentral.